AAAUCUAGCACGGUGAGCAGUGAGCUUGCGCUACUGUUCAUCGUGUCGUUUCUCUCGACGGCGCAUUGCUUGCUCCUCCCUUCUCCCAGAUCUUCGAGCCAGCUUGUCCUCAUCGGCGUGGAGUUCCUCAGCCUCCGGCGACCAGAUUUUGACCAUCGUUCUUCAUCAGCGAAUUGAUUUGGCGAGCAGGGUACUGUAGCUGAGAAUCGCGGUUUUCUCCUCAGUCCGGCGGCGUUCCUCCGUUUGAGCUUCCACUCCUUUACAGAACCAUCGACGGCGUUCCUCCGGUGCUUCUGAUCCAUUUCCAACAUCACUUCAUGCUUCGUGGCCCUUGGUCCAUCUCGCGAUUCCAGCGCCAGUGACCCCAGCAGCGUGCGACAGAGAACCAUUUCAGAAACCUGAUUUCGCCGAAGCUUUGUGAGCCGAUACAAGUGAAUUUAGGUUCAUCUUGAAGUUUGAGGACACCAGACCGAUUUCUGUUGGAUCGUUCUUUGCGGAUUCUUUGUGCGACGACAAAGAGGAGACAAACUGAUUUACGAUUUGGAUUGUCUUCCUUUGCAACAUUGCUUGAACUUGACCCGGAGAUUGAGAGAACCUUUUGGGCAUUGAGGAAGCAAGCUAGGUCAGCAGCAACUUGAGAGAGCAGAAUUUUAGAUAUGGAUAAUCAAAUAACAGAAAGCAAUCAAACCAUGAAAGAGCUUGCAGCUCCAGAUGUGGCUUAUAAGUAUUCAUGCAUCACUUAUCCAGAUUUGGCAGACGAUUUUGAACUCAGAUCAUGACUUAUUCAUCUGCUUCCCAAAUUUCAAGAUCUAUCAGGAGAAGAUCCCAACUGGCAUCUACAUGAAUUCCAUGUGGUUUGUUCAACCAUGAAACCACAGGGGAUUUCAGAAGAAGACAUUAAGUUGAGGGUUUUUCCAUUCUCUUUGACGGAAGUAGCUAAAGACUAGUUAUAUUGCCUUCUAGCUGGAUACAUUAUAAGUUUGAUUGAUAUGAAGAGAGCAUUUUUGGAGAAAUUUUCCUAGCUUCUAGGACUGCAACUAUUAGGAAGAGUAUUUGUGGUAUUCAGCAAGUAGUGGGAGAGACUCUUUAUAAUUAUUGGGAAAGAUUCAAGAAGCUGUGUUCGAGUUGUCCACAACAUCAAAUUAGUGAUAAGCUUCUUGUUCAAUAUUUUUAUGAGGGUCUACUUCCCAUGGAUAGAAGCAUGAUAGAUGCAGCAGCUAGAGGAGCUUUGGUGAAUAAGACUCCAAAUCAAGCAAGAGAGUUAAUUUCAAAUAUGGCAGAAAAUUCAUAGCAAUUUGGGAGGAGAGCUCUUGGUACUAGAGUGGUUAAUGAAACUCAUUUGGUUUCAACUGAGCAACAAGAAAUCAGGAAUAAUUUGCAAGAGUUGACCUCUCUAGUGAAGCAAAUGGCAUUGCAAAAUUCUUGUAAAGUUUUAAAUUUUUUCUGUUACCAAUGAUUAAAUUGUGUGGAAUUUGUUCAAGCCAAGAUCAUUCUUCGGAUUAUUGUCCUAACUUACACCAAGAUAAAUCAAUGGUAGCCAUCUCAAGACCUCAAUAUCAAUCACACAAAUAUGAUCCUAACUCUUUAACUUACAAUCCGAGAUGGAGGGAUCACCCUAAUUUGAGGUAUGGGAACACAUUUUAUCAACAACCACCACAAGGAUAGAUUCAUCAGUCAUCAUUCCAGAAUCAACAAAAUCAACACCAUUUUCAGAGUCAUCCAGCAGUUCAUUCUCAGCAAUAUCAGCAGCUUCAGCAGCCACAAUUUCAACAAAAUUUCAGCCAAAAUCAGCAAUUUCAACCAUUCCAGAAUUUCCAGCAGUCACAUAAUGCGAUCUAGCCACAAUUUCAGAACCCACAGAAUCAACAAACAAAUUUCCAGCAGAUUCAGCUACCUGUGCAGAAUUUCCAGUAGCCAAGUAAUGCAAAUCAGCAUCAAUUUUAGCUUGCACUGCCAUCUUCUACAAGCUCGAGAUCAAUGCAACCUCAGCACAACUUUAGCAGCUCAAAAAUAGAAGAUUUGAUGCAGCAAAUGAUGCAAUAGCAGCAACAUUAGCAGAGGACUGAUACAACAUUGCAAAACAUCGAAAGGAAGAUUGGGCAGCUAGAUAGUAACAUUAAUCAGAUGCAGAAUCAGGGAUCUAGGCAGUUACCUUCACAACCGACUCCAAAUCCUAAAGGAAAUAUAAGUGCAUUGUCUUUGCGAAGUGGUAAAACAAUUCUAGACCCAAAUCCAAAUUUUUCGGCUGGAUCAUAGUAGAGUUUACCUAAACCAGCUGUAGAUUCAACUUCACAAAGUUUUCAAAAUUUUCCAGCAAAUCCAGCGCAAACAGAUUCAGCACAGAAUGACAUUUCUAAAGCUAAACAACAACAAUUUACUCAACCUGCAACUUCAGAACUUACACAAUCUGGUGGAGCAGAUUUUGGUUCAGAAGUUAAUCCAACAACAGCUAGCAAUUCAGCUCCAAACUCAGCACAGAAUCUGGAGAAAAAUCUGAACCAGCAAGGAGCUGAGUCUUCCAUUCCAUUACCUUUCCCUUAAAGAAGUAUACAAUCAAGAAAAGAGAUGGAGGAAGAAAAGGCUAAAGAAUAUCAAGAUUUGGUGAAAUUGUUCAGCAAGGUUGAAGUGAAUGUGCCCUUGUUAACCAUGAUCAAACAAAUUCCUAAAUAUGCCAAAUUCCUUAAGGAUCUUUGUGUGCAUAAGAAGAAAUUGAAGGGAAAUGAAUUGAUAAGUAUGGGGGAAAAUGUCUCAGCAUUACUUCAGCCAGUUCCUCAAAAGUGUGAAGAUCCAGGAGUUUUCACAAUGUCUUGUGUUAUAAGAGAUUGUAUUUUUGAGGAUGCGAUGUUAGAUCUUGGAGCUUCUAUAAAUGUGAUGCCGAAAUCAGUUUUUCAAUCAUUAAGAAUUGGACCUUUGUAGCCUACAGGUGUAGUAAUUCAAUUAGCUAACCGAAGUCAAGCACACCCAGCUGGAGUGAUAGAAGAUGUUUUGGUAAAAGUGAGAGAGUUAAUUUUUCCUGCAGAUUUUUACAUCUUAGAUAUGGAGGGUGAUGUGCUUGCAAACAUAUCUCCACUUAUCCUUGGACGUCCAUUCUUGAAAACAGCUGGAACAAAGAUUGAUGUACAUGCAGGAACUCUUUCCAUGGAAAUUGGAGACACCGUGGUUCGGUUCAGCAUUUUUGAGGCUAUGAAGCAUCCAAGAGAGGAUCAUUCUAUUCUUAGCUUGGAUAUUUCAGAGGAGCUGGACAGCAUGGAUUUCUCUUCAGAAGUUGAUUUAGAUUCAAAUUUUUUUGAUGUUGGCCAAGGGAAUGAAUUGGUUUCAUUGUUGGAGAAUAUCUUAGAAGUGGGAGCAGAUGUUAGUUCAAAUGAAUGCGUAGGGGAUUGCUUAGGAGAAGCAUUACCCCUAGAAUUGCCCAGACAAGAAGAAUUAUGCGUAGGGGAUUGCUUAGGAGAAGCUCCACCCCUAGGAUCGCCUUCGGUUGACCAGAUACAGGAGGCGUUGAAGCCAUUACCUCAGCAUUUGAAGUAUGCCUAUUUAGGAGAGAAUCAGCAGCUACCUGUCAUUAUAGCUUAGAAUUUGGAACCAAAUCAGGAGGAAAGAUUGUUAGAGAUUCUGAGACACCAUAGAAAGGCCAUUGGAUGGACUCUGGCAGAUAUUCCUGGGAUCAGUCCUUCUAUUUGCAUGCAUAGGAUCUAUUUGGAGGAGAAUGUGCAGCCAGUGAGACAGCCAUAAAGACGACUUAACCCCUUGAUCUUGGACGUGGUAAAGAAAGAGGUGACUAGACUCUUACAGGCAAGCAUUAUUUAUCCGAUUUCUGACAGUAAAUGGGUAAGUCCCAUCCAUGUGGUUCCGAAGAAGUCAUGGGUGAUAGUGGUAGCUAAUGAAGAGAACGAGUUGGUGCCCACGAGAGUGAAGAAUUCUUGGAGAGUUUGUGUAGACUACAGGAAGCUAAAUCAAGCAAGUCGAAAGGAUCAUUAUCCACUUCCUUUUAUUGAUCAGAUGUUGGAGAGAUUGGCAGCCUUGAAAUAUCUCCUCAAGAAGCCUGAUGCAAAACCUAGGUUGAUCAGAUGGAUGCUUCUGCUUCAAGAAUUCGACGUAGAGAUACGUGAUAGGAACGGGAAGGAGAACUUGGUUGCAGAUCACUUGAGCAGAAUUGAAGGAGACUUGGAUCGUACAUCUAUUGAUGAUGAUUUCAGAGAUGAGCAGCUUCUACAGCUGCAAGGUGAGUCACCAUGGUAUGCAGAUCUAGCUAAUUUCUUAGUAGCACAUGUUUAUCCCAAAUAAUUUUCGAAAGCUCAAAAAGAUAAAUUAAAAAGUGAUUCAAAAUUCUAUGUUUGGGAUGAUCCUUAUCUGUGGAAGUUUUGUAGUGAUCAGUUCAUUAGGAGAUGCAUACCUGACUCUGAGUUUCAGUCUGUACUUACUUUUUGUCAUUCUUUUGAGUGUGGAGGACAUUUUGGACCACAACGAACUGCUAGGAAAAUAUUAGAAUGUGGUUUGUACUGGCCUACCCUUUUUCGUGAUGCUUUUGCUUUUUAUCGAUCAUGUGAUAGGUGUCAACGAACUAGGAACAUAGGACUUAGAAAUGAAAUGGCUCAACAAUUUAUAUUAUUUUGUGAGAUUUUUGAUGUUUGGGGUAUUGACUUUAUGGGUCCAUUUCCUGUCUCUUUCGGAUUUGCAUAUAUUUUAUUGGCAGUUGAUUAUGUUUCCAAAUGGGUGGAAGUCAUUCCCACUCGGAUUGAUGACUCUUCUGUUGUUAUUAGCUUUGUCAGGUCUCACAUAUUUUGCAGGUUUGAAGUACCCAGGGCAAUCAUUAGUGAUCAAGGGUCUCAUUUUUGUAAUAGACACAUGAAAGCUUUGCUACAUAAGUAUGGGGUUACACACAAAGUUUCUACAUCCUAUCACCCUCAAACAAAUGGGCAAGCAGAAGUGUCUAACAGGGAGGUGAAAUCGAUUCUUGAAAAGACCGUGAGACCGGAUAGGAAGGAUUGGAGCAAAAGACUUGAAGAUGCACUAUGGGCGUAUAUGACUGCUUUCAAGACUCUAUAGGAAUGCCUCCAUACAGGAUUGUGUAUGGAAAAGCUUGUCAUCUACCCGUGGAGAUUGAGCAUAGGGCAUAUUGGGUGGUUAAAGCAUGCAACUUUGAUAGUGACACGAUUGGAGAAGAAAGAAAAUUGUAACUUCAAGAACUUGAAGAGAUUAGAUUGGAAGCCUAUGAGAACUCACAGAUUUAUAAAGAAAAGACCAAGAGAUUUCAUGACAAACAAAUUGAGGUGAAAGAAUUCUAAAUUGGUGACAAAGUACUUCUAUAUCGAUCUCGUCUCAAAUUGAUUAAAGGAUCUUUAAAGUGAAUGGGCAUAGGCUUAAGAAGUUCCAUGAAGGAGUUAAUGGCUUGGUGGUGGAGGAAAUGGACCAUAUCGAUGCUAUCUACCCGAGUUAAAGGGGGGUUUCACUUUAUCUUUUGUUUCUUUGAGAAUGAAUAAAUUUUAGGGAUCUAGUAGUCUUUUUAUUUCUUUUGAUAAGCUUACGGUUUUAAUCUGAAUUCUCUUGUUGCAUUAAUAAAUUCUUAGUCUCUUGAGUAGUUUUUAUGUUUACAUCAUUAGUAUUUCAGAUUUUAGGUUUUAUGUUCAUGGUAGUUAUCAUUUCUUUGAAUUUGGUAAUCUUUGUUUUAGGAAUAAAUGGUACUUUCUUCUUUUGACAAUUCUUUGUGUCAUCUUUAGAGAUUUGAAAAAGAAUGUUAAAUUUGAUUAUUGAGUUUAGAGACUUUAUGGCAUGAAUGAACUAUAGGACUACAUGAGGUGCACAUUAUGUGUUGGAUUCUGGAUUGACGGAAUGAUAUGUUAAUUUUUAUUUACCUAGUGAGGUUAGAGCCUAUGUGAGAGAUGCUCUUGUGGCUUAUUUCACUCUAGAAUUUGCUUCAAAUCUGUUUAAUACCACUGAAUCAGAAUUGAGUCACCUUGAUGAAGUUUCCUCCAUUAUCUUAUUGCCCACAUUUAUCUUUAUUAUUUUUUCUUGUCAUGAAUCAUCAUAUCUUUGUUCUUUUCUAAUGUCUUUUUCUUUGAAUGUGGUUACCUUGGAUUUUAUGUGAUGAUUUCAUUUUGGCCGAGACGAACAAAAGAGUAAGUGUGGGGGAGGUAUUUAGUUUGAUUGAGUUCUUUUGUUGAGUUUAGGUGGAGAAAGUGAAUUCUGCAGAAUUAAGGAAGCUCAGUGGAUUAAAUUUUUGUGUGUGUGUCAUUUUUCCAAUAUUGAUAUAUUUGAUUGAAAAUCUUGUGAACGAAUUGAAAUCCAGAAACUGAUGCAUGGCCAGUUUUUAUAGAAACAGAAUUCUGUAGAAAGUGAAGAGCAGAUCUAUCAAAACUCAGAAUGCAAGAUUCAAAUGAGUGGAAGCUUAGUUGAAAUUUAAGAAUAUGCUGAAACAAAUGGUAGGCUACCCUUUAUGGAAUCUGCAAAACAAGGAAAGAUGAAUUCAAGAACUUAUGUGGACACAAAAGAAUGCCAGAACAGUGAAUCUUUGUAGCUGUUGAAAAUCUGACCACAAUGGAUGAUAAUGAGGAAUUCAAAUUGGUGGGUAAUAUUUCAUCAAUGAAUCACUUGAACAUAGUAUCAUUUACUUGGAAAAGUUGAAGAAAAGGACAACAAAUUGGACCUUUAUACAGUGAGGAGAAUGCUGGAAACAUAAUUAAGAAACAAAUGGAAACAACAAUUUGUGUUUAUUCCCCUAUCCAUUCUUUAUAAAAUUACUGGACAAAAUGCUGAAAGUUACAAAUUGCUGAAAUUCUGAAGUGCAGAAACUUUCUAAUUGAUGUUAUAAGCUGAGACAAGAUUUGAAUUUAAGCUACUAUUUGAUUUAUUGGUUGUAAAGUUCUAUGGGAAUAAAUUGUUGAAGCUUGAAGUGAGGAAACAGUAACAUCAAAUGAAGAUAUCAAGUGCACAAAGUUGAAAUUCAGAAUUCGGUGAGAUGUAGAAUUGAGCAGUUCUGAAAAGAAUUGGAAAGCUGUGUAGUUUGGAAAGAAUGGAGUAUCAAAAUGUUAGAAAUGAUAUCAAGGAAAGGAGAAGCUUAGAUGAAGUUUUGUAACGUGAAGAAACAAAUGGAAUGUUGGCAUCAAUAGCUUCUAACAAGAUUAAUUUUAACACUGCAUAGAUGAAAUAGUAAUGACAGUUUACAACAGUGAAGGAUGAUACUGGAUGCAGGAAGAGGAAAUAGAAGGAAACAGUGAUGGUUGAUUGGGUUGUGAAGUGAUACUCAAUUCAAGGAAAACAACUGCAGAUAUGAAAUGGAGUAAUGAAGAUAAAAAUAGUACAUUUGCUGUAAAGAAAGAAAUUUACAGAGAAGUAGCAACCUAGAAGUGCAGAUUAUGCAGGAUGAAUUGGGCAAUUUUGUGCCAAAUUGGGAAAUGGAUUGUAACCGUUUGAAGAUGCUGAAACCUGAAAGUUUUCCAGUUAUGCAUUGUAAAGGGUCUGAAGAGGCCAUAUAAAGAAGUAUUGAAGUUUCUUGAGGCUAAGCAGUGGCAAUUGGUACAAAGACCAGAAUGUGCAUAAAUGACUAAGCAAUGGUUGUGCAGAAUGGAAUCAAGGCCAUUUGUUCAUUAAAAAUUUUGAAACUCAGCUGCUAUUCUAGUAUUGAUAAAGGAUUAUCUUGCUUCUCUAGAUCUACAAGAUUUUUAGACAAGAAAUUUGAUACUGAAUAGGAAAAACAAAGUACAAAAUUGAAAACUGAACCAAAAUUGCAGCUUUGGUAUUGGACUGAAAUUGUAGCAGAGGAAGUUAAAUUCAGCUGAUUUUUUUUUGUGUUAUUGCAAGAGAAGAGGUUAAGUUUUGCAGUAGGUCAAUUGUAGAAGAGGAUGUUAAGACAAAAGAAGUGAACAUCUGCAAUUGAAACUGCAUUCUGAUUUGAAGGCAGACAAAUUCUGGCUAAAGGGUACUAAGGGAUUCAUGAUUCAAUUGGAGGCUUGGUUCACUCAACCAAAUGGAGUGCAAAACCCCAAUGGACCUCAACUGAACCUGGACUUUAAUUGAUUUCAAUGGAGCCUAAACCCAAGCUAGAUCACACAUGAGCUUGACACGAACUUAGGUUUUAAUUGGCUAAAACCCUAGGUAUAAAAGGAAAAAUCUGGCGCGGUGAGCAGUGAGCUUGCGCUACUGUUCAUCGUGUCGUUUCUCUCGACGGCACGUCACUUGCUCCUCCCUUCUCCCAGAUCUUUGAGCCAGCUUGUCCUCAUCGGCAAGGAGUUCCUCAGCCUCCGACGACCAGAUUUCGACCAUCGUUCUUCAUCAGCGAAUUGAUUUGGUGAGCAGGGUACUAUAGCUGAGAAUCACGGUUUUCUCCUCAGUCCGGCGGCGUUCCUCCGGUUUGAGCUUCCACUCCUCUACAGAACCAUCGGCGGCAUUCCUCCGGUGCUUCUGAUCCAUUUUUGACAUCACUUCAUGCUUCGUGGCCCUUGGUCCAUCUCGCGAUUCCAGCGCCAGUGACCCCAGCAGCGUGCGACAGA
This is a long non-coding RNA of Zingiber officinale, 8483 nucleotides long. RefSeq lists it as uncharacterized. The transcript is spliced from 5 exons. NCBI's taxonomy places the organism in Eukaryota, Viridiplantae, Streptophyta, Magnoliopsida, Zingiberales, Zingiberaceae. The record is from RefSeq and is a predicted model, not a curated record.